RNAcentral lists this ribosomal RNA (253 nucleotides) under uncultured bacterium. Its description in RNAcentral is "partial 16S ribosomal RNA". It matches the Rfam family "Bacterial small subunit ribosomal RNA", at positions 524 to 776 of the family's 1533-position model. The record is from RNAcentral.
AACGUAGGUUCCGAGCGUUAUCCGGAUUUACUGGGCGUAAAGCGCGUUCAGGCGGUUUGGCAAGUCGGGCAUGAAAUCUCUCGGCUCAACCGGGAGAGGUUGUCCGAUACUUCCAGACUUGAGGGCAGUAGAGGGUGGUGGAAUUCCGGGUGUAGCGGUGAAAUGCGCAGAUAUCAGGAGGAACACCGGUGGCGAAGGCGGGUCUCUGGGCCGAUACUGACGCUGAGGAGCGAAAGCCAGGGGAGCAAACGGG